Molecule: ribosomal RNA, 431 nt
Filed under: uncultured bacterium
Lineage: Bacteria
Description: partial 16S ribosomal RNA
Rfam family: Bacterial small subunit ribosomal RNA
Source: RNAcentral
UAGGGAAUCUUCGGCAAUGGACGAAAGUCUGACCGAGCAACGCCGCGUGAGUGAAGAAGGUUUUCGGAUCGUAAAACUCUGUUGGUAGAGAAGAACGUUGGUGAGAGUGGAAAGCUCAUCAAGUGACGGUAACUACCCAGAAAGGGACGGCUAACUACGUGCCAGCAGCCGCGGUAAUACGUAGGUCCCGAGCGUUGUCCGGAUUUAUUGGGCGUAAAGCGAGCGCAGGUGGUUUAUUAAGUCUGGUGUAAAAGGCAGUGGCUCAACCAUUGUAUGCAUUGGAAACUGGUAGACUUGAGUGCAGGAGAGGAGAGUGGAAUUCCAUGUGUAGCGGUGAAAAUGCGUAGAUAUAUGGAGGAACACCGGUGGCGAAAAGCGGCUCUCUGGCCUGUAACUGACACUGAGGCUCGAAAGCGUGGGGAGCAAACAGG